CCCCUCCUGUGCUCUGUCCUGGGACCUAGCAUAGUUUUAUUAUAAACUGAUCUAUUUGAUGAGCUUUUAGUAUUUAGUAGCUUUGCUUCACCUCUAUUGUUUGUGCCUUAAAAGCUUUCCCUGGCCUCAUGAGUGGAAAACUUCCAGUCAGAAGGAAGCACAAAGCCCUUUGUGAGAAGGGUGCUGUGUUCCAGAGGCCACCGGUCUGUUUUUACCUGAGGUCAUUUCCCUCCUAAAUGGUAAACAGGCUGCCUGACAAGGAGCCACAGCCUGUUCCUAGAAAAAUCUUAGAGCUGGGAAGUGUCCUGUGAGAUGCCUCUAAGUGGGGAGGACCACAGCCCACAUCACUUUGGGGAGAGGAGGCCGGAGCUGUGUUACAGCCAAGCUCAUCCUGAUUAGCUGGCCCCCAUUCCCCUCAUCCGGGGAUCCCAAGGGCAGAAGGGAGAACUCGGUAUUAAUGGGCAUCUGCACUUAUGAAGCCCCAGGUAAAUGCAGCAUUGCCUUGAAUGCACGGGGAGCCAAAAACCUGCUUCCAACUGUGUUCUGCUUUUGUUUUCCAAGGCUUUCUUUGCUUUCCAUGAAAUUUUCAAGUAUUGAGUAUCAUGUCCAGCAACACUUGCUAGAUCUGCCUGCCUCGGGAAACUGUUUUCCUAAAUGAAACAACCCAUUGUAAACACGGGUCUGCAUUUUGUCUUUUCCUCCGUUUGCUGAACCAACUACCGAUGUUAAUGUCCUCUUUCCUUCCAGAUCCUUGGCUUUGCUUGACCUGUUUUUGGUUUUUAAUCUCUGAAGAAAUCUCAGCCCAAACUGGUUUUUUAUUAGGGUGUUUGUUCAUAACUGCUGUGUUUGACUUGCUCUUCAAGAAGUAGCUGUUAGUUUUGUUUUAUGUGUGAAACUUCAGGGAUUAAGGGACAGCGAGGGCCAGAUAUGUGCCGGCUUUUGUCUACCCAAGUCAGAGUUUAAGCACGCUGCUCUCCUGCUUUGCCACGAAUGUGCUUUUAAAUGACAAUUUUGAAAAGUCAGCUCCGGAAGAGAAGAGGGGUUAUGUUUAAGCUUUUCUUUCCAGCGAUCGGAGAGGCGGAUUGAAAUUUCUUUCUCAACUUGAAAACCAGGAGCAGAGCACUGUGUGACUAGAAGGAAACCAGGCAGCGUGCCUUCUGCCUGACGUUUACCCCUGGCGGCGGAUCCGUAAGGGAAACCCUCAAAAACACACAGACGUACAGAGAACAGCCUCCUGGCCUGGAGAGCCUCGGCAAGUUUGGGUUUCCCUGUCCGAGGACCCUGCUACCAACAGGUCCUCCUGAUCGUUGCUGCUACCUGAAGACGUGUCCUGCCGGGGAGCCCGUCUCCUGCACAUGCAGCCAGAGCCACCGGCCGGGGGUCAGCCAGCGUUCAGAAAGGCUGCCAGCCUGGCUGCUGCGUUUCCUGUCUGAUAGAUGGAUGCCCUUUGGCUGUUGGCUGUUGUCAUUGUUCGUCUGGUUUUUGUGGUGGUGGUGGUUUUCUCAGAGUGAGUGUAACAAGGAAGAAUGGUUAAUCUAGCAAGAACUCAUUACCGUGAACGAUGAAGGCUGGGCUCCUGUUUUCUUCUUAUUUGAUUUGUUUGCUUCAUUGGGGAAAACAAAUGAUCGUGUCACCCUAUGGAGAAUUUCACUUUCUCUUUGACAUAGAAAUAAACAGCCUCCCACGUUUCGUUUAUUUUUGCCGCUGCUGGAACAGUUGAUUCAAAAAACACGUUUUAUGCUGCUUUCCUAUACCAUGACCUUCACUAUUAGGUAGGGAAGGGAAACCAAUAAAAUAUGUAUAUUCUUUAAGAAACGGACGACCCUUCACUGCAGAUGCCCCUAGAAACCCAGAUAUGUCAGAGCGAGAUGGCUGAGGGGUGACAAGGCCAAACGAAACGGCAGGAGGGACGGAGUGUCUUCAUUUUCUUUUUGGCAACACGUCUUGACGAGGAGGAUUCAAUUUACAUUAAUUCAUUAGAAAAAAAAAUUAGAGCCCCUUUCUCUCCUUCUUGUCUUUCAGUUAGCAGAACGUUCCUGGUAAUGGAAUUAAAAUUCAUUUUCACUAAAACUGUGUCCAGCCUUUGGCAUAUAAAACGUAUGUGAGGUGUUGCUCGCUGGAGGGUUAUAGAUGCUGGCUCACUCGGAUCCUCCCAGGGCCACAUCCUGACUGGCAACUCUGUGGCCCCAGUGCCCAGUAGUGUGUUCACUUCCUGUUCCUAUUUCUUUACCCGCGGGCUUUUGGAGCCCAGC
Non-coding RNA from Vicugna pacos (alpaca), 2252 nucleotides. The record is from RefSeq and is a predicted model, not a curated record. Lineage: Eukaryota; Metazoa; Chordata; Mammalia; Artiodactyla; Camelidae.